UGUCUAGCUUGCUAGACUGAUUAGUGGCGCACGGGUGAGUAAUGCAUAGGUAACGUACCCCUUAGUCUAGGAUAGCCACUGGAAACGGUGAUUAAUACUGGAUACUCCUUCUAGCUUAAUGUUAGUUGGGAAAGUUUUUCGCUAAGGGAUCGGCCUAUGUUGUAUCAGGUAGUUGGUGAGGUAAUGGCUCACCAAGCCUAUGACACAUAGCGGGUCUGAGAGGAUGAUCCGCCACACUGGUACUGAGACACGGACCAGACUCC
This 263-nucleotide ribosomal RNA is filed under the name uncultured bacterium. RNAcentral's name for it is "partial 16S ribosomal RNA". It matches the Rfam family "Bacterial small subunit ribosomal RNA", at positions 72 to 339 of the family's 1533-position model. The record is from RNAcentral.